GAUGAACGCUGGCGGCGUGCUUAACACAUGCAAGUCGAACGAUGAAGCCCAGCUUGCUGGGUGGAUUAGUGGCGAACGGGUGAGUAACACGUGAGUAACCUGCCCUUGACUCUGGGAUAAGCCCGGGAAACUGGGUCUAAUACCGGAUAGGAGCGCCUGUCGCAUGACGGGUGUUGGAAAGAUUUUUCGGUCAUGGAUGGACUCGCGGCCUAUCAGCUUGUUGGUGAGGUAAUGGCUCACCAAGGCGACGACGGGUAGCCGGCCUGAGAGGGCGACCGGCCACACUGGGACUGAGACACGGCCCAGACUCCUACGGGAGGCAGCAGUGGGGAAUAUUGCACAAUGGGCGGAAGCCUGAUGCAGCGACGCCGCGUGAGGGAUGACGGCCUUCGGGUGGUAAACCUUCUUUCAGUAUUU
Molecule: ribosomal RNA, 417 nt
Filed under: Micrococcus sp. oral taxon F54
Lineage: Bacteria; Bacillati; Actinomycetota; Actinomycetes; Micrococcales; Micrococcaceae
Description: bacterial SSU rRNA
Rfam family: Bacterial small subunit ribosomal RNA
Source: RNAcentral